AGUGAACGCUGGCGGUAGGCCUAACACAUGCCAGUCGAACGGCAGCACAGUAGGAGCUUGCUCUUACGGGUGGCGAGUGGCGGACGGGUGAGGAAUACAUCGGAAUCUACUUUUUCGUGGGGGAUAACGUAGGGAAACUUACGCUAAUACCGCAUACGACCUACGGGUGAAAGCAGGGGAUCUUCGGACCUUGCGCGAUUGAAUGAGCCGAUGUCGGAUUAGCUAGUUGGCGGGGUAAAGGCCCACCAAGGCGACGAUCCGUAGCUGGUCUGAGAGGAUGUUCAGCCACACUGGAACUGAGACACGGUCCAGACUCCUACGGGAGGCAGCAGUGGGGAAUAUUGGACUAUGGGCGCAAGCCUGAUCCAGCCAUACCGCGUGGGUGAAGAAGGCCUUCGGGUUGUAAAGCCCUUUUGUUGGGAAAGAAAAGCAGCAGGUUAAUACCCCGCUGUUCUGACGGUACCCAAAGAAUAAGCACCGGCUAACUUCGUG
Molecule: ribosomal RNA, 492 nt
Filed under: uncultured bacterium
Lineage: Bacteria
Description: partial 16S ribosomal RNA
Rfam family: Bacterial small subunit ribosomal RNA
Source: RNAcentral